AGCUCCAAUAGCGUAUAUUAAUGUUGUUGCAGUUAAAAAGCUCGUAGUUGGAUAUCUGGCCUUUGCGUUGACGACCCGCCCUCUUUUGGGAUGAGCGUUGGAGACGUGGGUCUAUUUUCCGGUUGGUGUCCAUUCCACUUUAUUGGGGCGUGGUUCACGAUCCGGAUCGUUUACUUUGAAAAAAUUCGAGUGUUCAUAGCAGGCUUACGCCGUGAAGAUCGCAGCAUGGAAUAAUAACAUAGGACUUGGCGUUCUAUUUUGUUGGUUCUGGAACCUAAGUAAUGAUUGAUAGGGACAGUUGGGGGUGCUGCUAUAGACUGGCCAGAGGUGAAAUUCUAAGACUCAGUCUAGAGCAACUUAUGCGAAAGCAUUCACCAAGGAUGUCUUCU
RNAcentral lists this ribosomal RNA (389 nucleotides) under uncultured eukaryote. RNAcentral describes it as "SSU rRNA". It matches the Rfam family "Eukaryotic small subunit ribosomal RNA", at positions 587 to 972 of the family's 1831-position model. The record is from RNAcentral.